GUGGGUGCAUACAAGUACAUCCAGGAGCUAUGGAGGGAGAAGCAGUCUGAUCUCAUGCGCUUUCUUCUCAGGGUCCGCUGCUGGCAGUACUGCCAGCCCUCUGCUCUCCACAGGGCUCCCCAAUCCACUUGGCCCCAUAAAGUGCGCCGACUGAACUACAAGGCUACAUUAUAUAUAGGAUUCAUGUGUGCGGUGAUGGCCAAAAACACCCAGUUCCUAAGGGUGCAACUUACGGCAAGCCUGAACAUCAUGGUGUUAACCAGCUAAACUUUGCUUGAACCCUCAGUCCAUUGCAGAGGAGCAAGCUGGACACCACUGUGGGGCUCUAAGAGUCCUGAAUUCUUACUGAGUUGAAGAUUUCACAUACAAAUUUUUUGAGGUUAUCCUCAUUGAUGCAUUCCAUUAAGCUGUCAGAAGAAAUCCUGACACCCAGUGGAUCACCAAUCAGUCUACAAGCCCAGGGAGACACGUGGGCUGACAUCUGCAGGCCGAAAGAGCCAUGGCCUUGGAAAGGGCCUUAAGUUCCACCACACUAUUGGUGGGUCUCGUCAUGCAGCUUGGAGAAAAUGUGAUAAUCUCCAGCUCCACUGUUGCCACUGA
This 600-nucleotide long non-coding RNA is filed under the name Homo sapiens (human). Its description in RNAcentral is "non-protein coding lnc-OVOL2-3:1". Lineage: Eukaryota; Metazoa; Chordata; Mammalia; Primates; Hominidae. The record is from RNAcentral.